AGCGAACGCUGGCGGCAGGCCUAACACAUGCAGGUCGAACGCCCCUUCGGGGGAGUGGCGGACGGGUGAGUAACGCGUGGGAAUGUGCCCUUUGGUACGGAACAACUGAGGGAAACUUCAGCUAAUACCGUAUGUGCCCUACGGGGGAAAGAUUUAUCGCCAUUGGAGCAGCCCGCGUUGGAUUAGGUAGUUGGUGGGGUAAUGGCCCACCAAGCCGACGAUCCAUAGCUGGUCUGAGAGGAUGAUCAGCCACACUGGGACUGAGACACGGCCCAGACUCCUACGGGAGGCAGCAGUGGGGAAUCUUGCGCAAUGGGCGAAAGCCUGACGCAGCCAUGCCGCGUGAAUGAUGAAGGUCUUAGGAUUGUAAAAUUCUUUCACCGGGGAAGAUAAUGACGGUACCCGGAGAAGAAGCCCCGGCUAACUUCGUG
This 431-nucleotide ribosomal RNA is filed under the name uncultured bacterium. RNAcentral describes it as "partial 16S ribosomal RNA". It matches the Rfam family "Bacterial small subunit ribosomal RNA", at positions 29 to 507 of the family's 1533-position model. The record is from RNAcentral.